RNAcentral lists this ribosomal RNA (497 nucleotides) under uncultured bacterium. RNAcentral's name for it is "partial 16S ribosomal RNA". It matches the Rfam family "Bacterial small subunit ribosomal RNA", at positions 28 to 507 of the family's 1533-position model. The record is from RNAcentral.
GAUGAACGCUGGCGGCGUGCCUAAUACAUGCAAGUCGAGCGAACAGACGAGGAGCUUGCUCCUCUGACGUUAGCGGCGGACGGGUGAGUAACACGUGGAUAACCUACCUAUAAGACUGGGAUAACUUCGGGAAACCGGAGCUAAUACCGGAUAAUAUAUUGAACCGCAUGGUUCAAUAGUGAAAGACGGUUUUGCUGUCACUUAUAGAUGGAUCCGCGCCGCAUUAGCUAGUUGGUAAGGUAACGGCUUACCAAGGCAACGAUGCGUAGCCGACCUGAGAGGGUGAUCGGCCACACUGGAACUGAGACACGGUCCAGACUCCUACGGGAGGCAGCAGUAGGGAAUCUUCCGCAAUGGGCGAAAGCUUGACGGAGCAACGCCGCGUGAGUGAUGAAGGUCUUCGGAUCGUAAAACUCUGUUAUUAGGGAAGAAAAAAUGUGUAAGUAACUAUGCACGUCUUGACGGUACCUAAUCAGAAAGCCACGGCUAACUACGUG